GAGAGCUGCGUUAGAGCGACCCGGCGAGCAGCCCCGGCGGCCAGGGCCGAGCCUCAGAGGGCAGCGCGGCCCCCAGGUGUGGCGGCCUUUCCCCUCCCCUGCACACUCCGAGCCGCCCCUCUCGCCUUCCCCCCGCGCUUUAUCUCCUCCUUCUGCCAAGGAAGUGGAGCAACUCCACCUGGCGUGCUAAAAAAAAAAAAAAAAAAAAAAAAAAAAAAGGAAAUCAAAUAACCCCACAAACCCGAGCUCUGCAGGCGCCGCAUGGCAGGAGCAGAGCCCUUGAGAUGGUUAAAAACACCCCUCUAAAUAAUUCAAGUGACCUGAAAUGCCUUCCUUUGGGAAAGAGAAGGGGAGGGCUGUGUUGGAGCCGCCAGGCUGGGAUCCUGGAGAGAGUGCUUAGAUGCAGCUAUUAAGCAUGCAGUCGUGAUGGCUCUUUGGCAAUUACUUCAUAACCAGUAAAUAGCAGCUCGGAGUGUAGACCCACAGCUGCAGAGCCAGCAGCCAUGACCUGGUGAGACCACGGCCCUGGGUGCUGGCAGCCCGGGAGGAACCUCAAGGGAAGUGAAAUCCAGAGGAAAAAGGAUAUGAGUUCCUUCUGUUCUCCAGACACCAAAAAUUAAGCUUAUUAAGGAGGGGAAAUAUGUUUUAUAUUAGUGUUUUACAUUAGCCUCGCAUAUAGAGAUAUCUAUAUGGAUGGAGAGACUUAGAUACAGACAUAAAGUACUUCAAAAUCUGUAUGUAUAUUUAGAAAAUAAGACCUCACCCGUCAGUGUUAUGCAGCCAUCUCUGGUAUGGGAUGUAACAGCUGUUUAACAUAGAAUAGCAACACUACAGUAUCAAGGAAGACAAGGGGUUGAGGACUGCCACACAGAGUUAAAAUAAAAUCACAGAUUUAGAGAGACAGCCUUACACAAGCUGAAAUGCAAUAUACAGAAAGAUUUCAGUCUCAAACUAGAGACUCAGUUUUACAUUUCUUGACAGAAAUGGUUUCUCCAACAUUGUCAUUAUAUGAAUUUUGACUGCAUCUUAAAUGAUGGAUUUGAAGAGAAAAUCCCCAAUUACUAGAUCUCUAAUACUAAUGAGUUAAAAGGCCCUUUGAAGGUUUCUGUCCAAAUACUGGCCUAAACUCCUCUUGCUUUGACUGUGAAUCAUAGUCUGAAGUAAAACAGCUGCGGGGAAUAAUAGCAAACAGAAAGAAGAAUUAGAUGGUGUGAAGCAGUUUUUUCCAUUUUUAAAUGUAAUGUUUACAUUUGGAGCUGGUGAAUAUUUGAGGAGUAUCAUCUUCCCAAACAACUUUCAAGUUUCUUUCAAAACAAAGGCAUUGUUUUCCACUUAGAGAUUCAUUUGUUUAAAAUCAGUUAGCAGUGGCACUUUCUGUUGCUUUUGGGAAAAUAGUUUCUCCAGGUAUUGAAUUCUGUCUUUUUCUCAUUUUUGUAACAUCCCAUAUCAGUUAACACCAAUAUUUAUAAACAUAUUCAGUAAUUGCAAAAGCUUACGAUGCAGACAGAAAUAUUAAUUUUUCACUCCACUUAGACAAAUACUUGGAUUGUUCAUUGUAAGGCUCAAAGCUAGGACUGAUACUCUUAUGCAAUAUCAAGACUACUGAUAAUGAAUAGUGAUAACUUUUUGAUUAAAUAUUGUAUCACAAUGAUCCCUGAAUGAAAGGGCAAACUAAGUAUAUUACUUAAUCAUUAAAAACACCAUACUUUUUCCA
Non-coding RNA from Cyanistes caeruleus (blue tit), 1714 nucleotides. NCBI's taxonomy places the organism in Eukaryota, Metazoa, Chordata, Aves, Passeriformes, Paridae. The record is from RefSeq and is a predicted model, not a curated record.